CCUACGGGAGGCAGCAGUGGGGAAUUUUGGACAAUGGGCGCAAGCCUGAUCCAGCAAUGCCGCGUGAGUGAAGAAGGCCUUCGGGUUGUAAAGCUCUUUUGUCAGGGAAGAAACGGUGGGGGCUAAUAUCUCCUACUAAUGACGGUACCUGAAGAAUAAGCACCGGCUAACUACGUGCCAGCAGCCGCGGUAAUACGUAGGGUGCAAGCGUUAAUCGGAAUUACUGGGCGUAAAGCGUGCGCAGGCGGUUUUGUAAGUCUGUCGUGAAAGCCCCGGGCUCAACCUGGGAAUUGCGAUGGAGACUGCAAGGCUUGAAUCUGGCAGAGGGGGGUAGAAUUCCACGUGUAGCAGUGAAAUGCGUAGAGAUGUGGAGGAACACCGAUGGCGAAGGCGGCCCCCUGGGUCAAGAUUGACGCUCAUGCACGAAAGCGUGGGGAGCAAACAGGAUUAGAUACCCUGGUAGUCCACGCCCUAAACGAUGUCUACUAGUUGUCGGGUUUUAAUUAACUUGGUAACGCAGCUAACGCGUGAAGUAGACCGCCUGGGGAGUACGGUCGCAAGAUUAAAACUUAAAUGAAUUGACGG
RNAcentral lists this ribosomal RNA (585 nucleotides) under uncultured bacterium. RNAcentral's name for it is "bacterial SSU rRNA". It matches the Rfam family "Bacterial small subunit ribosomal RNA", at positions 338 to 916 of the family's 1533-position model. The record is from RNAcentral.